GACGAACGCUGGCGGCGUGCUUAACACAUGCAAGUCGAACGGUAAGGCCCUUCGGGGUACACGAGUGGCGAACGGGUGAGUAACACGUGGGUGAUCUGCCCUGCACUUCGGGAUAAGCCUGGGAAACUGGGUCUAAUACCGGAUAGGACCACUGCCUGCAUGGGUGGUGGUGGAAAGCUUUUGCGGUGUGGGAUGGGCCCGCGGCCUAUCAGCUUGUUGGUGGGGUGAUGGCCUACCAAGGCGACGACGGGUAGCCGGCCUGAGAGGGUGACCGGCCACACUGGGACUGAGAUACGGCCCAGACUCCUACGGGAGGCAGAAGUGGGGAAUAUUGCACAAUGGGCGCAAGCCUGAUGCAGCGACGCCGCGUGAGGGAUGACGGCCUUCGGGUUGUAAACCUCUCUCAGCACCGACGAAGCGCAAGUGACGGUAGGUGCAGAAGAAGGACCGGCCAACUACGUGCCAGCCGCCGCAGUAA
This 478-nucleotide ribosomal RNA is filed under the name uncultured bacterium. RNAcentral describes it as "partial 16S ribosomal RNA". It matches the Rfam family "Bacterial small subunit ribosomal RNA", at positions 28 to 523 of the family's 1533-position model. The record is from RNAcentral.